This 451-nucleotide ribosomal RNA is filed under the name uncultured bacterium. RNAcentral describes it as "bacterial SSU rRNA". It matches the Rfam family "Bacterial small subunit ribosomal RNA", at positions 28 to 496 of the family's 1533-position model. The record is from RNAcentral.
GAUGAACGCUGGCGGCGUGCCUAACACAUGCAAGUCGAGCGGAGAUUAAAAAGCUUGCUUUUUAAUCUUAGCGGCGGACGGGUGAGUAACGCGUGGGUAACCUGCCCUAUACACACGGAUAACAUAUCGAAAGAUAUGCUAAUACGAGAUAACACAUUUUUAAGGCAUCUUAGAAAUGUCAAAGCGUUAGCGGUAUAGGAUGGACCCGCGUCCCAUUAGCUAGUUGGUGAGGUAAAAGCUUACCAAGGCGACGAUGGGUAGCCGACCUGAGAGGGUGAUCGGCCACACUGGAACUGAGACACGGUCCAGACUCCUACGGAGGCAGCAGUGGGGAAUAUUGCACAAUGGGGGAAACCCUGAUGCAGCAACGCCGCGUGAGCGAUGAAGGCCUUCGGGUCGUAAAGCUCUGUCCUAAGGGAGAUAAUGACGGUACCUUAGGAGGAAGCCCCGG